GUCCAGUUGCUUGAUGGCAGAACGUGGAGGAAUAUGGUCAUGUGGAUGAACGAUUGCAUCAUUAUUCCUCAUGAUAAAGCGUUGGGUAUCGAGAUCUGUGAGGCACUGUGUGCUUGAUAAGCAUUGUACGCAUCGUAGUGAACACAAGAGUUCACUUACCUGGGGGAUGUUUUUCCUCUUCCAACCCGGUAAAUGUAAAGAACAGUGACAAAAUCACGAUCAACGAUAUCAGUAUCACGGUGGCAACCAUAGUGUGGCUCGAAUGUGAUUCGAUGACCGAUGAUCGAGCCGUUAGAUCCCAAGAUACAGUUAACUUUGAGGAACCAUCGAUCCUUCACGCUUUAUAAAAGCUUUCGAGCUUGGACACGGAGUCAUUUUAUUUUUCUGCUGCGCAAGACUCGGUGCUGUGUCCGAUAACGCCGUACAAUUCGAUAAGUUGGACAAGCUGACGAUGUGCUGACCUUCAGUUCCUCUUCUUCCGCCUGAGCCUGUUUACGUCGAAUGAAGAAGACACGAGAAAUUAAUACUGCGAUGGGAGAUGGAUGGAUGCUGGAUGUGUUCAAUGAAUAAAAUCAUUUAGUCGCAACGAGCUCCCAUAGCAGUGUUCCGGUCCAGUUGCUUGGUGGCAUAACGCGGUGGAAUAUGAUACGGUUACGCCCGCCAUAUUUACCGGGACGAAGGUGGAGAAACAUCCCCCAGGUAAUAGAAUUGAUUCCGCGGUAGAAAAAUUCGGGUCUCCUCGCGACGAUCCAGGUAUCCACUCAUUUUUGGCCAUACUCGCAACAAUUGAAAACACGGUUUUGCUAAGAAAAACCGUGCCCAUGAAAAUCUGAAGGAAUAACGACCGGCGAAUACGGCGGCGAGGAAGGACGUCGUAUGCAACUGCUUCCAAGGUUUCUCCCAUUUCAUACCAAAUCAAUGUUUAACGUUUCAUUUUCAAACUAUUUCGGCGGAGCAGGGCGAUCUUUAUCUCUCGCGCCAAACAGUCGUCUUUGAACCAUAUAAACCAAUCGUUCCAAGUUGUUUCAGAUAUCUCCUGAAAGCCCCGACUAACAGGCAAUGACUUUCUUAAAAUAAACACGGACAUCGAAACACAAAUUUUACUUCUUUAUUCGAUUAAAAUAUUUUCUGAUUGUAUAUCACGCAUUUUCAACAUACUUUUUGUACAGUCGUAUAUCGUCCGUUUCCCAGCAUCAAGGAAUUAUUUAUAAAUCGAACCUCGGAACCGAUGUAAAAGGACGGAAUCGC
Long non-coding RNA from Megalopta genalis, 1248 nucleotides. RefSeq lists it as uncharacterized. Lineage: Eukaryota; Metazoa; Arthropoda; Insecta; Hymenoptera; Halictidae. The record is from RefSeq and is a predicted model, not a curated record.